AUUAACCCACAUCCAUGAGUUUAUGUGCAUGCAUGUAUUUAUCAUGCGUGUGUGUGUGUGUGUGUGUGUGUGUGUCCGUCCACAGCAAAGCGUGUGUGUUGUGGAGUUACGGGGUGCAGCACGGUGUCACACCAUGUUUGUGUGUGGUGGGGACACGUUAGACGUGUGCUGUGAAUCGCUCAUCCCCAACCACAUAUACAGCACGGCACAAACAGAGCGCACAGGGGCUGAGAAGCCACCCACCCCAGUGUUGUUGACUUUGAAAAGUGUGUGUGGUGAGGGUAGGGUGAUGGCGGCAACGCGGGAGUUAGAGGUGGGCUGCAUUCGUACUGCACAGCCAGUCCCCAAGAAGAAUGUGGAGUUCCUCUGGGAGGACGUGGCUGCUUUGCAGCAGCAUGGCUUUAGUGUGGACCCUACCAAAGGAAGUGUGGAUGCGGGACACAGGCGCACCAUCACUGUCACUUGGACGCCCCCUGCUGGACACACUCCCAGUGAAGUUGUUCAGGUGCGUGUUCCCUUGACUUUGAAAGGAGACGAGACUGAGGUGUAUAGCGUCACUCUCAUGGCCUGCAUAUCCCACAACGCUCACUCUGCAUAGGACCUGAAACCUUUGACGAAUUUUUUUGAAAAACUUUUCAUUCUUCUGUAAAUGCCAUGAUUUUAGACUUCAAGCGUUUAUAUUUAUGAUGUCAAUAUUAAACAUCUCUUUGUUACUUAAUAAUAAUAAUCAAGUAGUUCUAAUUCCUGUGAUUUGUUCAAUUUGUUACUUUCUUUUUACUGUUUAUUGAUAAAAGUGUUGUAAAUGUUCUCUACAAUUUU
Long non-coding RNA from Pygocentrus nattereri (red-bellied piranha), 819 nucleotides. The record is from Ensembl. NCBI's taxonomy places the organism in Eukaryota, Metazoa, Chordata, Actinopteri, Characiformes, Serrasalmidae.